RNAcentral lists this unclassified non-coding RNA (332 nucleotides) under soil metagenome. RNAcentral describes it as "partial contains 5.8S ribosomal RNA, internal transcribed spacer 2, and large subunit ribosomal RNA". The stretch from base 1 to 120 matches the Rfam family "5.8S ribosomal RNA", at positions 35 to 154 of the family's 154-position model. The record is from RNAcentral.
GAUGAAGAACGUAGCGAAAUGCGAUAAGUAGUGUGAAUUGCAGAAUUCAGUGAAUCAUCGAAUCUUUGAACGCACAUUGCGCCCUUUGGUAUUCCUUAGGGCAUGCCUGUUCGAGCGUCAUUUAAACCUUCAAGCUCAGCUUGGUGUUGGGUGACUGUCCGCUUCACCGCGGACUCGCCUCAAAAUUAUUGGCGGCCGGUACAUUGGCUUCGAGCGCAGCAGAAACCCGAACUCGGGCGCGUCGUAUUGGCUCCCAGAAGCUAUCUUCACAAUUUUGACCUCGGAUCAGGUAGGGAUACCCGCUGAACUUAAGCAUAUCAAUAAGCGGAGGA